GAUCCUGGGCUCAGGAUGAACGCUAGCUACAGGCUUAACACAUGCAAGUCGAGGGGCAUCAGGAAGAAAGCUUGCUUUCUUUGCUGGCGACCGGCGCACGGGUGAGUAACACGUAUCCAACCUGCCCUUUACUCGGGGAUAGCCUUUCGAAAGAAAGAUUAAUACCCGAUGGCAUAAUGAUUCCGCAUGGUUUCAUUAUUAAAGGAUUCCGGUAAAGGAUGGGGAUGCGUUCCAUUAGGUUGUUGGUGAGGG
RNAcentral lists this ribosomal RNA (252 nucleotides) under uncultured bacterium. RNAcentral describes it as "partial 16S ribosomal RNA". It matches the Rfam family "Bacterial small subunit ribosomal RNA", at positions 15 to 258 of the family's 1533-position model. The record is from RNAcentral.